GGAGGUGCAAGCGUUAAUCGGAAUUACUGGGGCGUAAAGCGCACGCAGGCGGUUUGAUAAGUCAGAUGUGAAAGCCCCCGGGGCUCAACCUGGGGAACUGCAUUUGAUACUGUCAGACUAUAGUAUGGUAGAGAGAAGUAGAAUUCCACAUGUAGCGGUGAAAUGCGUAGGGAUGUGGAGGAAUAUCAGUGGCGAAGGCGACUUCUUGGACCAAUACUGACGCUCAGGUGCGAAAGCGUGGGGAGCAAACAGGAUUAGAUACCCUGGUAGUCCACGCCGUAAACGAUGUCUACUAGCCGUUGGGGGACUUGAUCCCUUAGUGGCGCAGCUAACGCCAUAAGUAGACCGCCUGGGGAGUACGGCCGCAAGGCUA
Molecule: ribosomal RNA, 373 nt
Filed under: uncultured organism
Description: partial 16S ribosomal RNA
Rfam family: Bacterial small subunit ribosomal RNA
Source: RNAcentral